Molecule: ribosomal RNA, 297 nt
Filed under: Pelobates cultripes (western spadefoot toad)
Lineage: Eukaryota; Metazoa; Chordata; Amphibia; Anura; Pelobatidae
Description: SSU_rRNA_microsporidia
Rfam family: Eukaryotic small subunit ribosomal RNA
Source: RNAcentral
GCAGGGUGGCCCCAGUAAUCAGCACAAGUUAGAAUGUGGGCAACUCAGCAGUCGUUGCGCAGGCACUUUGGUGACUCUAGAUAACCUCGGGCCGAUCGCACGUCCCCGUGACGGCAACGACGUAUUCGGAUGUCUGCCCUAUCAACUUUCAAUGGUACUUUCUGCGCCUACCAUGGUGACCACGGGUAACGUGGAAUCAGGGUUCGAUUCCAGAGAGGGAGUCUGAGAAACGGCUACCACAUCCAAGGAAGGCAGCAGGCGCACAAAUUACCCACUCCCGACACGGGGGGUAGUGAC